Long non-coding RNA from Dreissena polymorpha, 1381 nucleotides. RefSeq lists it as uncharacterized. The transcript has 2 exons. NCBI's taxonomy places the organism in Eukaryota, Metazoa, Mollusca, Bivalvia, Myida, Dreissenidae. The record is from RefSeq and is a predicted model, not a curated record.
UACGCCCGUCUAUGACGGGACGUAUUAUGGUAUACCCCGCGUCCGUCUGUCCGUCCGUCCGUCUGUCCGUCCGUAUGUCUGUUAAUGUCGUACGCUACGUCAAAUAUCCUUUGACAGAUUUUCUUCAAAUUUUAACACAAUCUUAAUAUUGAUAAACCCUGAUCCCCUUUCGUUUUUGACGGAAUUCUGAAUUGUCGUUCCAGAGUUAUGGGACUUUGUUCGUCAAAAUUUCGUGAUUUCAUUGAAUGUCCUACUGUAGCUAUAUAAAAAUGUUAAAGUUGUUAUAACUUUGGUAUGCUUGGACCUAGAGUCUUGAAACUUGACAUGAAGGUUGGCCAGAACUAGUAAGUAACCACUGGACAUUUCAAGGUCAUUCAUUUGAAGGUCAAGGUCACUGUGACCUUGAAUGUAAAAAUGUUAAAGUUCUUAUUUCAUGUUAUAACUUUGGUAUGCUUGUACCUAGAGUCUUCAAACUUGAAAUAAAGAUUGGCCAGUACUAGAAGAUGACCACUGGUCAUUUCAAUGUCAUUCAUUUGAAGGUCAAGGUCACUGUGACCUUAAAUGUUAAAAUGUUAAAAUUGUUAUAACUUUGGUAUGCUUGGACAUAGAGUCUUCAAACUUGACAUGAAGGUUUGCAAGCACACUUAGAUGACCACUGGUCAUUAGAAGGUCAUUCAUUCUAAGGUCAAGGUCACACAAGGUCACUGUGACCUUAAAUGUUAAAAUGUUAAAAUUGUUAUAACUUUGGUAUGCUUGGACAUAGAGUCUUCAAACUUGACAUGAAGGUUUGCAAGCACACUUAGAUGACCACUGGUCAUUUCAAGGUCAUUCAUUCUAAGGUCAAGGUCACUGUGACCUUAAAUGUUAUUGUUGUUCAUGUAUCCUACCGUAGCUCAAAUAUCCCCCGAUGGAUUUUUUAUACGCCCGUCUAUGACGGGACGUAUUAUGGUAUACCCCGCGUCCGUCUGUCCGUCCGUCCGUCCGUCCGUCCGUCUGUUAAUGUCGUACACUACGUCAAAUAUCCUUUGACAGAUUUUCUUCAAAUUUUAACACAAUCUUAAUAUUGAUAAACCCUGAUCCCCUUUCGUUUUUGACGGAAUUCUGAAUUGUCGUUCCAGAGUUAUGGGACUUUGUUCGUCAAAAUUUCGUGAUUUCAUUGAAUGUCCUACUGUAGCUCAAAUAUCCUUCGAUGGAUUUUUUUCAAAUUUCAACACAAUCUUAAUAUUGAUAAACCCUGAUCCCCUUUCGUUUUUGACGGAAUUCUGAAUUGUCGUUCCAGAGUUAUGGGACUUUGUUCGUCAAAAUUUCGUGAUUUCCAUGCUCAUGUACUUAUAAAAUAAACCAUGUAUUCAAAUACAAAUAAACUGAAGUAAAAAAAUUA